This 19-nucleotide unclassified non-coding RNA is filed under the name Dictyostelium discoideum. The record is from RNAcentral. Lineage: Eukaryota; Evosea; Eumycetozoa; Dictyosteliales; Dictyosteliaceae.
GAGGAAUGGGGAAUGAUUG